Molecule: ribosomal RNA, 368 nt
Filed under: uncultured organism
Description: bacterial SSU rRNA
Rfam family: Bacterial small subunit ribosomal RNA
Source: RNAcentral
CGGAGGGUGCAAGCGUUAUCCGGAUUUACUGGGUUUAAAGGGUGCGUAGGCGGACUUUUAAGUCAGUGGUGAAAGCUCCGAGCUUAACUCGGAAACUGCCAUUGAUACUAUUAGUCUUGAAUUCGGUUGAGGUUGGCGGAAUGUGUCGUGUAGCGGUGAAAUGCUUAGAUAUGACACAGAACACCGAUUGCGAAGGCAGCUAGCUAAACCGACAUUGACGCUGAGGCACGAAAGCGUGGGGAUCAAACAGGAUUAGAAACCCUGGUAGUCCACGCCCUAAACUAUGAUUACUCGAUGUUGGCGAUACACUGCCAGCGUCUAAGCGAAAGCAUUAAGUAAUCCACCUGGGGAGUACGAUCGCAAGAUUG